RNAcentral lists this ribosomal RNA (432 nucleotides) under uncultured bacterium. Its description in RNAcentral is "bacterial SSU rRNA". It matches the Rfam family "Bacterial small subunit ribosomal RNA", at positions 28 to 507 of the family's 1533-position model. The record is from RNAcentral.
GAUGAACGCUGGCGGCGUGCUUAACACAUGCAAGUCGAACGAACCUUACGGGUUAGUGGCGGACGGGUGAGUAACGCGUGAGAAUCUGCCCUCAGGAGGGGGAUAACGGCUGGAAACGGCCGCUAAUACCCCAUAUGCCGAGAGGUGAAACGAAUUUCGCCUGAGGAUGAGCUCGCGUCUGAUUAGCUAGUUGGUGGGUAAAAGCCUACCAAGGCGUCGAUCAGUAGCUGGUCUGAGAGGAUGAUCAGCCACACUGGGACUGAGACACGGCCCAGACUCCUACGGGAGGCAGCAGUGGGGAAUUUUCCGCAAUGGGCGAAAGCCUGACGGAGCAACGCCGCGUGAGGGAUGAAGGCCUCUGGGCUGUAAACCUCUUUUCUCAAGGAAGAAGAUCUGACGGUACUUGAGGAAUAAGCCACGGCUAAUUCCGUG